This 215-nucleotide long non-coding RNA is filed under the name Vigna radiata. Its description in RNAcentral is "long non-coding RNA (VRAD_LNC018129)". The record is from RNAcentral. Lineage: Eukaryota; Viridiplantae; Streptophyta; Magnoliopsida; Fabales; Fabaceae.
GGGAGCAAAAGUUUAGUUGAACCCACAAUCUCAGUUAUAACUGUGUUUUUUAUUAUGACAACUGAUAACGGUUGAAAUACCGUUAUUUUUAUACUUAAGUUUGACACUAAACACACCCUUUAUGACUUAGAAACUAGCUUGAAAUCAAGCUUUUUGCUUAAGUUAGAGAAUAAGAGAGUUGAAGGUAGCAUUAUUGGUAUUAUGCUUGGUUUUCC